AGAAUUUAUGUUUAUUAGGCACUAAUUCUGGGCCAAUUCUCAAAACUAUCCUGUGUGGUUUCAGAACCGAAGAGCCAAGUUCCGCAGGAAUGAGAGAGCCAUGCUAGCCAAUAAAAACGCUUCCCUCCUCAAAUCCUACUCAGGAGACGUGACUGCUGUGGAGCAGCCCAUCGUACCUCGUCCUGCUCCGAGACCCACCGAUUAUCUCUCCUGGGGGACAGCGUCUCCGUACAGCGCCAUGGCUACUUAUUCUGCCACAUGUGCCAACAAUAGCCCUGCACAGGGCAUCAACAUGGCCAACAGCAUUGCCAACCUGAGACUGAAGGCCAAGGAAUAUAGUUUACAGAGGAACCAGGUGCCAACAGUCAACUGAGGAAAAAAAAUAAUUAAACAGGCCUAAGAAGAAAUCAAAAACCAUAAGACACCUAUCCCGCUCUGUUAUUUCUUCAUCUGCUGGGGGAAAAAAGUAAAUUACAAACAAACAAACAAAGCAGAACUAAAAUAUUGGGACCAUGGCAGAGAAAAGCAGGAGAGGAGCAAAAUGAAAAUUAGUUAACAAAUGUUCCUCCUCCCUCUGGGAUACCAC
Molecule: small RNA, 586 nt
Filed under: Pan troglodytes (chimpanzee)
Lineage: Eukaryota; Metazoa; Chordata; Mammalia; Primates; Hominidae
Description: processed transcript
Source: RNAcentral